Molecule: non-coding RNA, 7981 nt
Organism: Callithrix jacchus (white-tufted-ear marmoset)
Lineage: Eukaryota; Metazoa; Chordata; Mammalia; Primates; Cebidae
Source: RefSeq, a predicted model, not a curated record
AUGUCACCUACAGCCCCCUUAGUCUCAGCUCAGCCAGAAACUUUAAUGCAAAGGAAAAGUCUGGAUUGGUUCCAUAGGCCUUUUAAAAAGAGGACUUAAAAGUUGCUGGCAAUGCAUUCCUUUUCGUCAGAGUCGAGGGCAAACUAGCUGAAAUCUGGGUGACCCGUGUCCUUUUCCGGCGAGCAGAGCAGAGAAGCGAGAGCGGCUGCUAGUUCGGCAGGAAAUUUGUUGGAAGAUGAAGAAGCUAAGAUAGGGGGUUGGUGACUUCCACAGGAAAAGUUCUGGAGCAGGGGCCAAAGACGAUCAGCGUUUCCUUUAUAUGUGGGAAUUGAAAUGACUAGCAUUACUGACUUUUCAGCAUCCCCUGUGAAUAUUUCUGUUUAGAUUUUUCUUCUUUAAAAGAAAAAAAUCCAGCCCGUAAAAAAAAAAUCAAGAAACUUUUGGGUAACACUGCAAUUACGUUACUUCAAAUUGAUAACUUCGAAAAUAAUUGGAACUCCUGUUUGCAAGUGUCAACCUAAAAAACGUGCUUCCUUUUAUAAUGGAAGAUGCCUUUCUGUGAUUGACUUCAAUUGCUGACUUGUGAAGAAGAAGCGAAUGUGAAAUCCCACGUAUAUGCCAUCAUUUCCCUCUAUGCUUGCUGACCGUUCUGGAAGAUCUUGAACCCUCUUCUGGAAAGGGGUACCUAGUAUUACUUUAUGGGGCAGCAGCCUGGAAAAGUUCUUGGGGACCAAAGAAGGCCAAGUUUGCCUGCCCUGCAUUUUAUCAAAGGAGCAGGGAGGAAGGAGUCCUCGAGGCAUGGGGGCCCACACUGUAAUGUUUUUGUGGAACAUGGUGAGUGCUUUUCCAAAUUUCUGCUCGUGGUUUUUUCUUAUGCAUUCCUCUUAGGCUUUCAGGGAACUUUCGAACAACAGUACUUGGGACAGUUUCUUCCAGUUCUACUUAAUAAUUUUGUCACUGUGGUUAUCUCUUAAGUUUCUGGUGGAACUUUGUAUAAGAAAAAGUUACUUAUGGCUUUAUUCAAAAUCUAUUUGAGUUGCUUGUGUUCUGCCUGAUUCCUUUUGGAAUUCACUGCUGACCUUGGACAAGCCAUGCCGCAGUUUCCUGAGGCGGUUGGACUUAAGUUGGGUCUUAGGAUCCAUGGUUUUGUGAUUCUGCUGUAACCGGAGUCAUGGACUCUUUACUGCUUUGUCUACAGGGAGCUUUUAUCAUAUUCUCAAAGUGGUUUGUGUUUCUGAGAAGGUUAAGAAUCAUGGAUACUGGUUGACAAGAGUAUCCUUGACCUUUUCCAUCAUAAGUUGGACUUGAAAAUAUUCACUUUGGAGCCAUGUGGGAAAAAUCAAGUGGGGAAAGCAGCCUUCCUUGUGAAUUUUAGAUACACAGCUUCUGUCUUACGUUCCAUGAGGAGCAUUCCCUUCCUCGCUGAUCAAGCUUUCAUCCUCUCUCCUCCUGUUUAGAAUGACAUUUGGGCCAAGAAAGGUUAUCUUUGACAUUUUUAUGAACGUAUUUGGCAUUUGAGUGCUGACAGUACGUUUUAUGUUGUUGAUGUCUAGUAAUUCUGUGUGAAGGUAAAGCUGAGGGUCAGCUUACAGUGAUAUCUAUGGGUUACUGUUUGCACUGUUGCAGCCUGACAGUUUUCAGAUUGUGUCCUUUCUGUUAAAAAAUCAGAUGAGCCCACCUAUCCUGUAAGCAAACGUAUGAAGUUGUGCAAGUGGUGUAUGCUUUGAAAUUCAUUCAGAAAUACCUCUUAACCAUAGGUGACUGCAAUCAACAGAGGUUUCUGUUGGAUGAACUUGCAUUUGACAGUUGAAGUUUUACUUUCUUGCAGGAAAAUAUUACUUCAUCUAAAUAAAUGUGGGUGCUUGGAUUUUACUUUGCUUUAAAACAUUAGUUCUAUUUUAGCUUUGUUUUCAGGCCAGCAAAUAUGGUCAUGUGUUAGGUUAUGAUGCCUCCCAAAUUCAGGAUUUAAAAAGUAAAUUAUUUACAUUUUAAGUAGAUACGAUGUGCAACUUACAUAGUGAAAAUUGGUACAGACUUUUUGGAGAGCUUUGGCAGAACUUAACAGAAUUCGAAAUGUAUGUGCCGAUGACCUAGUAAUCUCAUUUCUAGGAAACUAGUAUAGAAAGCAGUGUACUUCCCUACGUGACCCUCAUAUCUCUUCAGGGGUUCAGAAGCUAAAACUAUUUUCAUAUUAAUAGAGUACUAAGAUCUUGUCUCUUUUUCUGUGUUGACAUUUGCACUAAUGGUGCAAAAGCAAAAUAAGUAUCUUAGCAUGAAUCGGGGUUGUGAAACUACACAACCUGCAAAUCUCAGUUACAAUACUAGCUGUAUUUGUAGUCAUUGCAUUCUUCAUGACGUGCACUCACAGUUUAAAAAUAUAUGGAUAUUGGCUGGGCGCGGUGGUGGCUCAUGCCUGUAAUCCUAGCACUUUGGGAGGUUGAGGUGGGUGGAUCACCUAAGGUCAGGAGUUCAAGACCAGCCUGGCCAUCAUGGUGAAACCCCAUCUUUAAAAAAUAUAUAUGUGUGUGUGUGUGUAUCCACUUUUCACUGAAAAAUAUCUUUUUUUUUUUGAAUCAGAGUUUCACUGUGUUACCCAGGCUGGAGUGCAGUGUCGUGAUCUCAGCUCACUGUAAUUUUCUCUUCCUGGGUUCCAGUGAUUCUCCUGCCUCAACCUCCCAAGUAGCUGGGACAACAGGCACACACCACUGACGCCCUGCUAAUUUCUGUAUUUUUUAGUAGAGACCGGGUUUCUUUUUUUUUUUUUUUCUGAGAGAGUUUCGCUCUUGCUGCCCAGGCUGGCAUGCAGUGGCACGAUCUCAGCUCACUGAAACCUCUGCCUCCCAGGUUCAAGUGAUUCUCCUGCCUCAGCCUCCCGAGUAGCUGGGACUACAGGGGCCUGCCACUAUGCUCAGCUAAUUUUUGUAUUUUUAGUAGAGACUGGGUUUCACUAUGUUGGCCAGGCUGAUCUCAAACUCCUGACCUUGUGAUCUGCCUGCCUUGGCCCCUCAAAGUGUUGGGAUUACAGGCAUGAGCCACUGCACCUGGUCAGAUUUCACUGGAAAAUACCUUGAUGCAGCAGCAGAAAUAUAUUAAAUUUUGACCCUUGUGUAUGUCUUUUUUUUUUUUUUUUUUUUUGAGAUGGAGUUUUCUUCUUGUUGCCCAGCCUGGAGCACAGUGGUGCGAUCUAGGCUCACUCUGCCUUCCAGGUUCAAGUGAGGCAUUGCAAUGACAUUGCUUCACCCUCCCAAGUAGCUGGGAUUACAGGCAUGUGCCACCAUGCCCGGCUAAUUUUGCAUUUUUAGUAGAGUCGGGAUUUCUUGAUGUUGGUCAGGCUGGUCUCAAACUCCUGACCUCAGAUCAUCCUCCCAUCUCGGCCUCCCAAGGUGCUGGGACUACAGGCAUGAGCCACUGUGCUGUGUAUGUCUUCUUAAUAUUCUGUGGGUUAAAAAGGGAGGUAUACAUCAAGCACUUCUACCGUGUACUAAAGUAUAAUGGUUAUCUCUAGGAAAAGCACGUGGGUGAUUGGGUUGCAAACUGAACUAGCCACUUUUUUCACGGACUACCAUUUUUACUUGAAACUGUGACUGACAAACAUGGUUAUUCAAACUAAAAGUGUAUGCGGAAAUCUUUCAAAGAAAACAACAGGUAGUAUUUGUUGCCAAUGAUGAAAUUUUAACUUUCCAGUGAAAAUUAGGAUUUUGGAGAAAAACUUUUUUUUUUCUUCAGGACAGAGUUUCGCUCUUGUUGCCCAGGCUUGAGUGCAGUGGUGCAGUAUCAGCUCACUGCAACCUCCGCCUCCUGGGUUCAAGUGAUUCUCCUGCCUCAGCUUCCCAGGUAGCUGGGAUUACAGGCUCACAUCACCAUGCCCAGCUAAUGGAGAAUUUUUAUAUGCCACUGAGCUAGAGAUUGGUGGUAAUAUUUACAGAGGCCAUAUUUUAAUAUCUUAUAAAGAAAUAGAUUAUUUGGAAGUUCUACAUAAAUCAGUAAACCAAUUUUUCUUUUUUGUUUGUUUUUGAGACAGUCUUGCUAUGUCACCUAGGCUGGAGUGUAGCGGUGUGAUCUUGGCGUACUGCAGCCUCUGUCUCCCAGGUUCAAGCAAUUCUCAUGCCUCAGCCUCCCAAGUAGCUAGGAUUACAGGCAUGCAGCGUCACAUAUGACUAAUUUUUGUAUUUUUAGUGGAGAUGGAGUUUUACCAUGUUAGCCAGGCUGGUCUCAAACUCCUGACCUCAAAUGAUCUGACCACCUUAGCUUCCCAAAAUGCUGGGAUUACAGGUGUGAGCCACUGUGCCCAGCCAAACCAGUAUUUUCUAAAUGAUCAAUGCAUGAUAUAAAAUUAUACACAGGUUAAAGAUCCAUUCAAAGUGCAAAAUGGAGCCCAGGCGCGAUGGCUCACACCUGUAAUCCCAACAGUUUGGGAGGCUGAGGUGGGUGGAUCACCUGAGGUCACGAGUUCGAAACCAGCCUGGUAAAAUGCUGUUUCUACAAAAAACACAAAAAUUAGCUGGUAAAUUAGCUGGCCAACAUGGUAAAACCCCAUUUCUACAAAAAAAUACAAAAAUUAGCUGGGCAUGGUGGCAUAUGUCUGUAAUCCCACCUACUCGGGAGGCUGAGGCAUAAGAAUCACUUGAACCCAGGAGGCAGAGUUGCAGUGAGCCUAGAUCCUGCCACUGCACUCCAGCCUGGAUGACACAGAGUGAGGCUCCAUCUAAAAAAAAAUGCAAAAUGGACAAACAGAUUUUAAUGUAACAGAAUACAGUUCAUUGAGGCCAGAUGUGGUGUCUCCCGCCUGUAAUCCUAGUAUUUAGGGGACUGGGGUGGGAGAAUUGCUUGAGGCCAGGAGUUGGAGACCAGCCUGGGCAACAGAGUGAGAUCUUACCUCUCCAAAAAUUUUAAAAUUAGUUGAGCUCCCAUUGGAGCCACGGAGUUGAGGCUGCAAUGAACCAUGAACACACCACCGCACUCCAGUUUGGUCAAUAGAGGGAGACCCUGUCUCUGGGGGGAAAAAAAAGAAGAUAGUUCAUUGGUAGGGUUUCAGAUUCUACAUGGCAGCCAGCCUUUGAGAAACUCUUGGCUGGGUACAGUGGCUCACGCCUGUAAUCUCAGCACUUUAGGAGGCUGAGGCAGGUGGAUCAUUUGGGGUCAGGAGUUUGAGACCAGCCUGGCCAACAUGAUGAAACGCUGUCUCUACUAAAAAAGCAAAAAUUAGCCAGGAGUGGUGGCAUGCACCUGUAGCCCCAUCUACUUGGGAGGCUGAGGCAGGGAAGUCCCUUGAGCCCAGGAGGCGGAGGUUGUGACCUGAGAUCGUGCCACUGCACUUCAGCCUGGGUGACAGAGCGAGACUUUGUCUCAAAAAAAAACGAAACUACCAUUUACCAUGUUUUGAUGUAGCAUCAAAGAACAAUACCUACAGUUAUCUAGAAAGUCUGUUUUCGGGGGAGAAAGCAGUUAUUUUCCAGUAAAAAAAUAUUUGUUUUUAAAUGAAUAAUUAUUUAAAUUUCAGUUUUCAUUUCUAAUGUGGUAACUUUUGUGGAGAUAACCUACACAAACUAAGGCUCUUUGGGGCCUUUGAUGAUUUUCAAGAGUGUGACAAGGGUCUGAGGUUAAAAAGUUUGAGGCCAGGCACUAUAGUUCAUGCCUGUAAUUGCACACUUUGGGAAGCCAAGGCAGGUGGCUCACUUGAGCCCAGGAGUUCAAGAUUAGCCUGGGCAACAUAUGGAAAACCUGUCUCUACAAAAAAAAAAAAAAGAAGAAGAAGGCCAGGCGUGGUGUCAUGCCUAUGUUCCCAGCUGCUUAAGAGGCUGAGGUUCACUUGAGCUUGGGAGGUCAGCGCCUCAGUGAGCCAUGAUCACCCCACUGCACUCCAGCCUGGGUGACAGAGCAAGACCCCGUCUCAAAAAAAGUUUGAGAACCGUUGCUAUAGAAAGUCUAUCAAGAAGGCACAUAGGGAUUUUUGUUGCUAUCAUACUCUACAGUACUAACAUUGAAUGAAGUUUGUGUUAUGGUAAGUAGAAAAAAAGCAAUUUAAAAAUCAUUCUUACUGGUAUGGCCCCAUUUUUGUAAAACAAAAGUAUCUAUUUAUUUGUGUAUGUGCAGAAAAAAAGUAUGGAAGGAUUUUAGACUGAAAUUGUUAUCUCUAGGGACUUGAGCUCUAGAUGGAAUAGGAGAAAACUUUCUCUUUUUGCUUUAUGUGAUGUUCCAAGUGUCUUUUUACAACAAACUUGGGUCAUCUUAUAAUACAAAAAAUAUGAAGAUUUAAAAAUCAAAUUGACAACAGCCCAGUUCGUUACUUUUUGGAGAUACCUUUUUAUGAAAGAAUUUGCUUAAGUUGUGUAUGAAGACAAACCAAUUUUUUUGGACCCUGGCUCUUCUUUUUCUAAAGGAAUGCCAUGAUAUUUUGUGUUAUAGAUAAUUUGUGAUAUUCCAUAAGCUCAUCUUUCUAGAGUUGGUUAAUAUCCAUGUACAUUAGAUUGAAAAACUUGAAUUCAGAAAUAUACAGUGUUGGAUCAGUCAUAGAUCUGGAACCCAAGAAUAGUGUUGAUUGUUAGUGGUGGUGAAUCUGAAAGAGUGGGCAGAUGGCAACUUUUUGCCGGAAUCAUUCAGGGUCAAAGGGCUAGUCAUAUCUAGAAGGGAUAAAAAGGAAACCAUGUUGUUAAAUAUUUCAUGCACCGUAUGUUCCUUUCAAAUUUCAGAGGCUUGACGAAGAAAAUUCACUUUUGGGAGAGUUGGUAAAACAAUUGAAAGCAUUUAGUAGUCAAGUUUUUCCUUAGUGUUUCCUUCUUUCUUUAACAAACAUUUAUUUUAUUGAACACAGACUAUGCCAGGUAGUGUUCUAGUUGCUGAUGAUACAUUUGUGAACAAAAAAAAAUAUUUCUGCCCUCGAGAAUUGCUUGAACCCAGGAGGCGGAGAUUGCAGUGAGCCAAGUUCGCCCCUCUGUGCUACAGCCUGGGCAACAGUGAGAGAUUCUGUCUCAAAAAAAAAAAAAAAAUCCCUGCCCUGGAGAAUUGCUUGAACCCAGGAGGCAGAGAUUGCAGUGAGCCAAGUUCGCGCCACUGUACUACAGCCUGGGCAACAGUGAGAGACUCUGUCUCAAAAAAAAAAAAAAAAAAUCCCUGCUCUCCUAGAACUUAACAUUCUAGUGGGAAGAGACACACCAUAAAUAAGCUAAGUAAAUAAAAUAUGAAUCUAUUAGUGAUAUGUGCUGAGGAGAAGAAUAACGUAGAGAAAGGGGACAGGGAAUGGGGUAGGAGGUGUAAUUUUAGUUAGGGCAGCUAGAGAGGCCUGACUGAUGGGUGGUGUUUGAUUAAAGACCUGAAGGAGGGGCUAGGUGUGGGGGCUCAUGCCUCCCUUUUGGGAGGCCGAGGUAGGUGGGUGGAUCAUGAGGUCAGGAGAUUGAGACCAUCCUGGCCAUGGUGAAACCCUGUCUCUACUAAAAUACAAAAAAUAAUAGCCUUGUGUGGUGGCAAGUGCCUGUAGUCCCAGCUACUCAGGAGGCUGAGGCAGGGGAAUCGCUUGAACCCAGGAAACAGAGGUUGCAGUGAGCUGAGAUCGCACCACUAUACUCUAGCCUGGCAACAAAGCAAGACUCCGUCUCAAAAAAAAAAAAAAACCUGAAGGAGGAAGGUGAGCAGCAAGCCCUGUUGAAAUAAGUGAAAGCGGCUGGGCACAGUGAGUCACGCCUGUAAUCCCAGCACUUUGGGAGGCUGAGGCAGGUAGAUCAUCUGAGGUUGAGAGUUCGAAACCAGCCUGACCAACAUGGAGAAACCCUGUCUUUACUAAAAAUGCAAAUAAAUAAAUAAAUAAGCCAGGCAUGGUGGCACAUUCCUAUAAUUCCAGCUACUUGGGAGGCUGAGGCAGGAGAAUUGUUAGAACCCGGGAGGCAGAGGUGGCGGUGAGCCAAGAUUGUGCCAUUGCGGUCCAGCCCGAGCAACAAGAACGAAACUCUUGUCUCAAAAAAAAAAAAAAAAAACAGAAAGAAAAGAA